GGCUGAGAGUUAGCUCAGUUGGUUACAGCGUGCUGCUGACAACGCCAAUGUCAUGGGUUCAAUCCCCAUAUGGGCCA
Non-coding RNA from Podarcis lilfordi (Lilford's wall lizard), 77 nucleotides. Lineage: Eukaryota; Metazoa; Chordata; Lepidosauria; Squamata; Lacertidae. The record is from the annotation of a GenBank genome assembly.